This 309-nucleotide ribosomal RNA is filed under the name uncultured archaeon. Its description in RNAcentral is "bacterial SSU rRNA". It matches the Rfam family "Archaeal small subunit ribosomal RNA", at positions 526 to 834 of the family's 1478-position model. The record is from RNAcentral.
CGAUUAGGUAAGUCUUUUGUGAAAUCGUUGGGCUUAACCCAGCGAAUGGCAAGAGAAACUGCCCAGUUAGGGACCGGGAGGGGUCAGGAGUACUCCUUGGGUAACGGUUAAAUGUUAUAAUCCUAGGAGGACUACCAGUGGCGAAAGCGCCUGACCAGAACGGGUCCGACGGUGAGGGACGAAAGCUGGGGUAGCGAACCGGAUUAGAUACCCGAGUAGUCCUAGCUGUAAACUCUGCGAACUAUGUGUCGCACAUCUUUAGUGGAUGUGCGGUGCCGGAGCGAAGGUGUUAAGUUCGCCGCCUGGGGA